UACAGAGGUCUCGAGCGUUGUUCGGAUUCAUUGGGCGUAAAGGGUGCGUAGGUGGCGUGGUAAGUCUGGUGUGAAAUCCCGGGGCUCAACCCCGGAACUGCACUGGAUACUGCCAUGCUUGAGUACUGGAGAGGAGAUUGGAAUUUACGGUGUAGCAGUGAAAUGCGUAGAUAUCAGGAGGAACACCGGUGGCGAAGGCGGGUCUCUGGGCAGUAACUGACGCUGAGGAGCGAAAGCGUGGGGAGCGAACAGG
This 253-nucleotide ribosomal RNA is filed under the name uncultured bacterium. Its description in RNAcentral is "partial 16S ribosomal RNA". It matches the Rfam family "Bacterial small subunit ribosomal RNA", at positions 524 to 776 of the family's 1533-position model. The record is from RNAcentral.